Long non-coding RNA from Nilaparvata lugens (brown planthopper), 432 nucleotides. RefSeq lists it as uncharacterized. NCBI's taxonomy places the organism in Eukaryota, Metazoa, Arthropoda, Insecta, Hemiptera, Delphacidae. The transcript is spliced from 3 exons. The record is from RefSeq and is a predicted model, not a curated record.
ACUCGAGUGACUCGAGCUAGGUGACCCGCGUUUCAUGGGAGCUUUUGACAGUUCAUCACCCGGUCGCCAUCUUUGAUUUUUCUAGCCCGGGUCAGGAAUCGUGACCCGACCAAAUAGUACGGGCUACGAAGUUCUAGCUCGAGUCACCCGGAAUCGGAGCGCUCCUAUUGGUUGAAAGUUUCGCGUCGUCUGCUCGGUCUGCAGUCAAGUAGACAACACAAGUAAAUGCAAAUAUGGAGGAUUAUUACGAAUACAAACAUGAGUUUGUUUUGAAGGCAUAUUUUAUAAAAUAAUCGGAAAGGAGGAAAUUUACACAUUAUUGGCUGGCAGCUUGGACUUCUUCAGUCCUAUCUGAAUCUGAAACAAAACUAUGGCCACAUCGAGAUGGCUGGUUUAGCAGCAGAAGUCACCACAGAGGGUCAUGUGUGGACU